Meriones unguiculatus (Mongolian gerbil) is the source of this 688-nucleotide long non-coding RNA. RefSeq lists it as uncharacterized. NCBI's taxonomy places the organism in Eukaryota, Metazoa, Chordata, Mammalia, Rodentia, Muridae. The record is from RefSeq and is a predicted model, not a curated record. The transcript has 3 exons.
GAGUUUUGCAAGCCAUUCAAAUUUGACAGGAUACAGACUCAAAACCUGACCUCCUCUUUGGUGCCCUGUCAAGUGAGGCGCAGGUCUAUGAAAUGCAGAUCUUUACUAGAAGUUUCAAAGCGUAUUUUCAAGCCAUGAAGAUAAAUGCUUGGCAUACCUGUUGCAAUUUGCCAGUGAGUUGUGAUCUUCAUAGGCUGAUGCUACUGGUCUACCAAGGGCGGGCUGUGUGUGAUCUUGAAAUGUUUAUUUCCACAAGAAAGCAUCUUCCACACUACCUUCUGGAUUGCCGCUUUGAAAAACUAGAAGGCAUCUUUGAGAGAGUUGGCUAGAAGUUGAAGGCACCAAACUAUGCAGUAUGUGUUUUCUGUAAUGAUUGCACAACUGAAGACCAGAAGGUUACAGUAGUGAUGAAGAGCAUGAGUCUCUCAUUGGGAAAAACUAGAGAGCAGCAUGGGAGGACUGCCAAUGUUUGGGGUGUUUCAGAUAAAGCUAUAAAGUACAGACAUUUCUCUGAAGUUUAUCUGCCUUCAUCUGAACAACCCAAGUCUAGAGAUCAGCUUGCAGAUCUACCACAGUAAUUUCUCUGGCAAGACUUCCAGUGUCUUCCCUGUUCCUGUCUCUCACAUUGGAUCUUACAACCUUGGCUUCAUCUUAUCCCUGUAAUAAAGGAGGCACAAUGGAACAGUUA